AGCGAACGUUUGCGGCGGGCCUAACACAUGCAAGUCGAACGCACUAGCAAUAGUGAGUGGCGCACGGGUGCGUAACACGUGGGUAAUCAACCCUUCAGCCUGGGACAACGACUCGAAAGGGUCGCUAAUACCGGAUACGGCGCGAGAGGCUUCGGCUUCUCACGAGAAAGCCACGCAAGGGGCACUGAAGGACGAGCCUGCGGCCCAUCAGCUAGUUGGUGAGGUAAGAGCUCACCAAGGCUAAGACGGGUAGCUGGUCUGAGAGGAUGAUCAGCCACACUGGAACUGAGACACGGUCCAGACUCCUACGGGAGGCAGCAGUGGGGAAUAUUGCGCAAUGGGCGAAAGCCUGACGCAGCCACGCCGCGUGAGCGAUGAAGGCCUCGGUCGUAAGACUCUGUGGGAGGAGACGAAGAAAGACCUGUGAAGAGCAGGCCUUGACGGUAGUCUCCUUAGUCAAGCACUGGCGUAACUCCGU
RNAcentral lists this ribosomal RNA (478 nucleotides) under uncultured bacterium. RNAcentral's name for it is "bacterial SSU rRNA". It matches the Rfam family "Bacterial small subunit ribosomal RNA", at positions 29 to 506 of the family's 1533-position model. The record is from RNAcentral.